CUUUUAUAUGUACAAACACAAACAAACACACUCAAGUGCCCGAGGGGGCGCACACACACAUACAAAACAAUUUGUGUCUCCACAUGCACAUACUUUUUUUAAAAAAAGUUUUCACAUGCAUAUGCUUUUUAUAGUGUCAUGGGCUUAUGCAACACGUGCAUGCCUUUGGUGAAGGCACACAACACAACUGAUCUUCUUUUAUAGGAAUCCUCAACUUUUUUUUUUUUUUACAAGAAUACUGAAUAUUUAAGUCAAUGAAAUAAUUACAGUGAUCGAGUUAAAAUAAAUGAGAAGAAACAACCAAUGAGUCUAAAGAAGCACCUCUCUUGGCCAAGUCGUCCGCAAUGUGAUUCACUUCCCUGUAAACAUGAUUGAAGCAAAAAUUGCUAACCGAAAAAAGAUCCAUGAUUUUCAGUCAUAAAGAUCGUAAACGCCAAGGAGGUCUAAACACACCGCUGCACCAAUUGAUAACGUUGAUGGAAGCCCCUUCUAUGAUCAACUCACUCCCCAACUCUUUCUCCUUCCAUAUCAUCACCCCCUGCAAAAGUGUUGCCAUUUUUGUAUGAUUGGCGGUAACCUCUCCAUAAGGUGCAACAUAGCAAAAAAUAACAUUACCUGCAUUAUCUUUACAUACACCACCCACCCCAGCCCUCCCUAGAUUGCCAAAUGAAGAACCAUCAAAAUUGACUUUUAAACCAUCAAAAUUGAGUUUUAAGCAUCCCAUAAUUGCGGGAUCUAAACACACCUUGGUCUUACCUUGAUAAAUCUCGGAGAUACCAAAUAUGCCAUUUUGUACUCUACAUCAAUCUUGGACACUCCUCAAUUGUCACGACUCCGCCCCCAAAACCCUACUGUACUUGCCAAAGGUGACAGAAUGCGGGACUGUGACGUAAGGUAGCAAAUGCCACUGAUGGGAGUGAGCUCAAUGCAUUUUAAAAAGAAAGAAAUCAGAGCAAAACAUAAAAAAAAGCAAAAACUCCCACUAGUACCAUAAUAAAAGCUAGAUAAAUUAAGACCAAAAAUCAUAUACAAUAUCUAAAAUAUUACAAUUUGCCCAAGGCAUGAAAAGCCCACCCACAAAAAUACAUAAGUUCACAACAAAAGCAACUCUACGGCCAAUAACCAUCUAACACCUACAAUCAUAAGGAAGCUCUCUUUGAGAGAAGACCUUCAGUUUGCCAGUCAUGAUCACCACCCGCCCUUCCCUGCUAUCAAUCUACAAAGAUAAGAGUAAACAGAAUGAGCUAUAAAGCCCAGUAAGUAGAUCCAAUAUCAUGUGUUCCUGCCUAUAUACGGUGGCUCAUGGCUAUACUCAAGAUUCAUAUAAGUAUCAACAUAGAGUCGUAUAUCACAAUUAUGUCACAAUUAUAUUAGUCGUGUGUUGUGAGUGAAUUCUUUUUAUGGUGGGGCAAUCCCAAUCAGCUAUCAGAUCUCAUAUGAACUAUUAAUUUAUUACAUCCCAUCAUCAUAACAAAUCAUCAUAAUUACUAGAUUACUAGUAGGCAAGUACAACAGGUAUAAACAUAAUUAGUAGAUACUAACCAACUCACUCUCUAAAUCACCUACUCCCAAAGUAGAAGCUCUAUUCAUCAGGCCAAGCCAAUCUUAUUGCUUAAGACUUCUACCAUCACUCAUAAAAGAAGACAAUGAUAAUGACAAUGAUUAAUCUCAUUCGUAAUGCCUUUACACACACGCACAUAGUCCUCAACGCGCUUUGGGACUUUUGAUAGGCACUUGCCUUACAAGACACGGUUCACUUUUCCUUUUUUUGUAUCACACAAAAUUUUGGGGGGUACGACCCUCCCAUCAUAUACUCAUCUUAACUCCCUCUUAUCAUAAGGAGUUAAGGAAAUAUGGCAGCUGUCGGCACCAUUAUUCACACAGUAAGUGCCCUACCCAACAGGCGGCCGCCAACACCGUUAUUCACACAGUAGGUGCCCAUUCAUACAUAUCACAUAAGCCGCAUAUUACUAUGCACACAUAUCACAUCAGAAGUAUAUCAAGCAGCUGCCAACACUAUUAUUCAUACAAUAGGUGCUCGUUCACAUAUCACAUAAGUAACAUAUUGCUAUGCGCAUAUAUCAUAUCAAAUGCAUAUCAAACAUUUGCCGACACCAUCAUUCACACAGUAAGUACCCAUUCACAUAGCACUUAUUAUAAUCAAAACAUAUCACAUCAUACUACCAAUGGCCAAUGGAAGACCCAUUGCACAGUGUGUCACACAUCAUAUCAUACUUUCAUCAUAUCAUAACGUGCUUUCAUUUUAUAACUAAGCAUAUAUUCAUUUCAUAACUGAACCAGUAUUCCUCGCAUAACAGAGUAGGUGUUCAUUUCAUAACAGAGCAUGUAUCUCUAUAUGUAUUCACAUCAUAAUAGAUUCCACUACCGAUUGAUGUCCCAUUGCGUAGUGUUUCAUAUCACAUUCACAUCACACGUAAUUAUAACGUAAUUAUAACAGUGUACAUACAUACUCAAGCAUUCAUUCACUCAUGCUUUGAUAUUUUUCAAGAAUCUAAGAGCAUUCACAGUAUCAUAAGCAUGCAUAUUCAAUGCCUCAUGACAGGUAAUUUCAAUAUCUUUAUGAAGGGUUUAAGCUUUAUUAAGAAACAUAUAAAUCAAUGUACCACUUUUGAAUCAUACAACAGUUUAGGAUUCACUACCAUUUCGAUCGAUGAUAUACAUAUGCGAAAGGGGACAUGAUAUCUAAUUCAUAA
This 2714-nucleotide long non-coding RNA is filed under the name Amborella trichopoda. Its description in RNAcentral is "long non-coding RNA (ATRI_LNC003531)". The record is from RNAcentral. Lineage: Eukaryota; Viridiplantae; Streptophyta; Magnoliopsida; Amborellales; Amborellaceae.